Siniperca chuatsi (mandarin fish) is the source of this 1012-nucleotide long non-coding RNA. RefSeq lists it as uncharacterized. The record is from RefSeq and is a predicted model, not a curated record. NCBI's taxonomy places the organism in Eukaryota, Metazoa, Chordata, Actinopteri, Centrarchiformes, Sinipercidae. The transcript is spliced from 2 exons.
AGAUGACAGAUCUAUAAGUACAGUAUCCUCUAAAACCAUCACAUGUCCAUCACAACAAAGCAAAGCAAAGGGGACAUGGUUUCCAAAUGUGUUUUUUCUUGAAUGCAUCCUCCCCAGGGAACUGGUUUCAGAUGGUGUCUUAGAGUAUAAAAUCCUGUCUAGCACCAUUUGAAAUCGGUGUUCUUGAGCGGGAACAGACUUCAGGAAUGACGACAGUGACAGCCUCAUUCACUAAGUUGCCAGAAAGUUUGGGAUUGCAGUUUGAUGGUAUUGUUUGCAUCCACAUUUUUACAAACUAUUCCAUACUUAUGAUACAUUGAGUCAAAUUAAUCAGUUUAGGAUUAUUACAAAACAAGAUAUGCACUGAUAAUGGAAUUAUGUGUCCAUUGGUUCUGUGGAUUGGUUUUCUAUUCAGCUUAUGCUCCAGUGAUCAGAAGAAAAGGAGGUGUUAAGGAUAAGUCCAGUCUUCAGACAACUUGACCCAUCUCUCACCAAGGCUGACCGUUUUCCUCUGGUGUUCAGAGUUUCCAUCAUGUCUAGCACCAUUUGAAAUCGGUUACAAUGUGGAGGGACUAUCAACAAAGCUUUGGCUUCAGCAGUUGCAUGAUGAAUUUCCUCAAAGUGCCAGAAGAUGGCAGUAUUGAUCCAUGCUACCAUCCAAGGCUACCAAGGUUUUUAGAAUCAUUGAGGCAGUGAAUGUUUUACUAGAUGACCCUGAUCAGGAACAAGACCAUCAAAACAAUAAUAAUUCAGUUUUUUCUUCAACCAUGUUGCCUUCACUCAGCCCUGCUGUGUGCAAGUUCAUGCUACAGUUAUCAUGUCGUGUACUUUUCUUCCAGGAACAGAUGAUAAACAAUGAGAUUAUCUGGUUAAAUGCUUCAGUAGUUAAGAGUGCAGAGUUUUCCUUGUAUUUAAAUAUUAAAAUAGUGUAAAAUUUUAGUUAAAUUAACAUAUGUUGUCCAUAGUGCCAAACUGUAUUUCCAUUAAUAAAGCAAAACUGGUUUCCCUCAAA